UAUAUAUCUACUUUAGAAUAUGGAUGUAUUAUUAAUACUUUGGUCGUAGAAUUAAGUUGCGCUUUGUUUGCGCACAUUUUCUCUGAAUGGCUUUCCUAUUCAUUAACAUUCAUGGGGAAGUCAUGGCUCAUGAUUAUGAAUAAUAUAACGUAACGUAUCGCAAUUAGGCCUAUGUGACUGGUCUAAAAGCAAACGCGCUAGCAAAGGCAUGGUUAUAAAUAUUAACUAAGUUAAGUAAAUAGACAGUCUGGGAAUGGUCACAAGAAACGUCAGCGCAAUGACCUAAUUAAUAUUCAUAAGCUGGGCCUUUACCAUAGUAGUGUAAUUUCGCAUUCCGCUGAUGACGCGCGUCACGCACUCAGCUGAUUCGGCGAGUAGGAGUCGGUAGCUUUUCUCCGCUCCUCCCCUCCUCUCCCACACAAGAAUCGGUCUUGUGCCACUCGCGUCUGCAAUCAUGGAGACGAACGGAACAGACCUGCUGCCGGUACAGUCGGGCUUGGACGCGCUUAUAGUGAACGGGCUCACGGCGGAACGAGAAGAAACGGACCCGCCAAGAAGAAAAGAAAGCCAGCAGUUUCCACAGAACAGGUCGAGCAGGGGGAGGAUGGAGAGGUGGAGGUGAGGAAACAGACAGAACAGCAGAACCUGGAGAAGGACAGUGAAGACGAUGGAGAAGAAUGCAUCAGCUGUCUCACUCAUACAGGCUAUGUUGGGAAUAGCUAACUACCAUACUACACAUACUAUUUCUGUAGUAUGUAUACUGUGCAUAGUAUGCAAACAUUCUGUAUGCAUAGAAUACCUGGAUGACCUACUGCAUUUGGGUGAAUUUGUUGAAAAGAUCACAUUUCACCCCGAAAUCAAAAGAAAAAAAUAAUAUUUUGCAUGAAUAAAAUGAAGCCCAUUAAUAUAAAGUGCCUGGACGUUUUACUUGACAGCCCCUUGACAAAGUUUUUAUUUUUUUAAUUAAACUCAUCAUAAAGGCAUUACAACUAAUACUACCAUAAUGUAUAAAUACUUAAUUAAAAAAUUAAAUAUUAUAUUAUUGUUUUUUCCCCAUUUUAGAAUUUGAUUUCUUUGCAUGAAAGUAAUGAUAAUUUAGGGUGAAAAUAUGAUUAAUUGACAUGGAAAUAAAGUCACAAUGUCAAUAAUUACAAUGUUCCUCAAAUUAGUCACUGUGAGGAGGAAAUGGGUGUGGCCGGGCCGUGAGGGUGCACGGCCGGCGCUGAGUCAAUUAAUCAGCGGGAGAGAGAGAUAAAGGGGAGCCGGAGACACCAGUUUGAGAGAGAGAGAGAGAGCGUGCGUGUGUGCAUGUGUUUGUUUUAUGUUGUUUUAAGUUCAGUUAUAUCAUUAAAGUUAUGCUGACUGUCCUGCCGGUUCCCGCCUCCUCCUUGCCCAUCCUGAACCCAUUACAGUCACAUUUCAAAUUAAUAACAUUUCCUGAUGCAAAAUAUAAGCUCUUGAUUUUGGAGCUAAAUAUAACCUGGAUAUGUUCUUGAAAGGUUUUGUGAUUCACCCAUUUGGCAAAAUGUGCAUUAUGUAAUGUGCAAAAUACAGGUCACUGCGUGAGGUAAGGGGCUGUUCACAACAAACACGUUAUUUUGUCCUGCUGUGCUGUUUUUAAAUUUUUUCUAUGCAAGCAUACACUAGACAGCUCAUUUUUUGACCAUUGCGCUGUCUUGCUGUUAUUUCGGGGUUUUUUUUUCACUAUUAUAGAUGCCGUGACAAGUUCAAAUUAAAAACUCUUAAAACGUAGAAAAAUAUGUCUUGAGACACCUGCGCUCUGUUACAUUCAUUGCGCUGUGUCUAGCUUUUGUAGUGUGAUGAAUGAACAGGAAAUAAUGUCAUCUGUUAUUUUGUUUUACUACUUCUUCACUCUACUACUUCACUUUCAGUAUUUGAUCAGACUGCCAAAACUUUUUUAUUAUUAUUAAAAAAUUAAUUAUAAAAAACAUAGCAAAUUAAUGUAUUUAUUUCCAAGAUUGUAACUGGAUGUCACUUGUUGCAUUAAACAUGCACAUAAUGUCAUGUGACAACAAUGUAGCAUACUACUGGUUGAAACAUUUAUCGUUGCAUACUGAGUACUGUUUAAUAUACUUAAAAAAAAAAAAAAUUUAAAAACGUAGGCACAAUGUAUACUGCGCAGUAAGCAGUACAAUAGUAUUUUAUAAAGCGCAAUAUCUGGACCCGGAAGUAAAAAUCCAUAAAAUUUUUUCCAUAAUGGGAAUUGAUUAUUAAUGCUAGCUUAUAAACCAGAACAACUGUGAGCGCCGAGGUUGUUAAUUGAUGGUAUAUACUCCUGUUGAAUUCAUCAGUCUGCGUUAUUUCAACUUAAUUUUUUAGAAAUCAUGUUUAAUAGCAGAAUUCUUGGUGAAGAGCUACACUACCCAUAAUCCUGAGGGGAAAAAUCCACCAAUCAGAGAAUCGUGGCAAACAAAGUGCGCCAAAAGAGCUCUGCAGCAACGUUUUUUUUUUUUGUUUUUUUUUUUGCUUCAGAUCAAAGUUUGUAAUGUUUGAAUUCUCUCUGAGCUGAUUGAUCUGGUUAUGGCUUACAGAUCUUUAACUGAAGGAUUUUAUGAAAUCCUUACGGAAAAAAAUGAAUGGGAAAAAUACUUCAGAAAUCAAGACAGCUGAAAAAGUGGGCGGGUACUGUUGCUCUCUAUUCCCAACACAGCCACACUCUGUUACAGUCACUUUCUUGACAAGUAACUUACUGUGUGAACUCUGUUCCUAUCAUAGAUGGGGAUGAAGUCGAUAAUGCCUCUGGGGAAAAAAGAAGAAAAAGAAGGCCAAGAAGAAGAAAGGACAUAUGUUAUCUUUUCUCUUUUCCUUGUACAUUAUGUUCUCUGCACAACCAGACUCACAUCAGUGCUUAUUGGUUCCCAAAGUGCCCUUGCUCUUUGCUGAUAGGAUGAUAUGUUAGAAAAUGACCACUGAAGAGAAAUGAGCAGUAUUUUCAAUCAUCUGUUAGAGUGGGGCCGCAUCAGUACAGCACCUUUGAGCAUCUUUGUGGCUCUGAGAUUAAAGGCCCAAACAUACUCAGCGCAUGUAUGUGAACGCAGAUGCAUCUUGCUACGCAAGCUCGAUUUCACACGUCGUUACGUUGUGAAAUGUGUCAGAGAGCAAUUCAUAACCUAAUGCAAGGAAGCGCCGCAUUCUCAGCAUUGCCGCAAGGGGCGCUACAGUAGACUUUCUUUUCUCAAUCAACAACUGUCAUGGCGGAGCAGCAAUUUGAGGAGAGUCUUGCCGAACAAUUUAGAUUAUACAAACAUAUUUUUCUGGCGUCUUAUUAGCAAAUACAAAAGCACACUCCUCAACUGUCUACAUGUUGACUCUACCACAUCCGGUUUUGCGUACUUGCGUGAAGUAUGUUUGGGCCCUAACAGUACGUGGCCUGCCAUUUAAUAUGCUUCAGUGAAAUGCACAUAAUUGUGCUGGUGUUGAUGAGGGCUGGGAGCACAGUUGGCUGCCAAUGCAGUGCACUGGAGCUCUGCCAGAUCUCUGUGCCUCAGGGAAAAUCCUGCAGUGCAGACUACCAUUUCUCGGUAAAGGAUUUUGAACAGGUCCCAAGUGUCACUGAAUGAUUUGUCAUUAUCUAGUAGAUAUUUAUCAGUGUCAUAACAUAAAAAGAUCAAGGCAUAAACAUGAAAGACAUGUUAUUUUUUUUUUCACAAAUUUUAUAAUACUAUUAAAGCUGAAUUUUUUUGUUGUUGUUCAAAUACUUCUUUCCCAACUUAAAGAAUUAGUUCACUCAACCGUGAGAACUCAUUAUUUACUCACCCUCUUGCUGUUCCACACCUGUAUGAUUUUUUUCUUCCGUAGAACACAAAAAGGAUUUUGCAAAAUGUCCGAGCUGCUCUUUUCCACACAAUGAAAGCAUAUAGUGACUGUCAAAAAGGGCUGCGUGAUAUAGCUAAAAAAACAGCAGUACUUCUCAGUAUAUUUAGACUUUUUUUAUGACAUUUAUCUCGAUAUUUAUUUAUUUGCUUUGAAAUUGCUUAAAGCUGUGAAACCAGAGCAACCAUUAUUUCGAUCUAAUGUUUUUUAAAUGAUGACACAAAUGAAUUGUUGAAUCAGUGUUUUGUAACCGUUCACCAAAACUGACUGUUUGAAAGAACAGAUGCCUGAAAGUAGUCUAGUGGGAUGUUCUAUAAUGGGAUGCCAUAAUGGGUAAAUAAAACGUGUUAAAAAUCAUUGCAGUAUUACCAAAACAUUUCUGUGUAAACUACAAAAUAAUAUUGCAUAAUGCAUACAUUGUAAAUAUUCAAUAUUCUCUAUAAAGAAUAUAAAAAAUAAAAAAUAAAAACAUUUUAUCUGGAUAUUCAGCAUUUUGACAUUUUUGAUACCUCAAUAUUUAUGUAUUUGCUUUGAUAUUGCUUAAAAGGGUGUAACCAGGGGAACCAUUUUUUUUUUAUUGAAUGUUUUUGAGUGAUGACGCAAAUUAAUUGUUGAAUCAGUGUUUUGAACCGAUUCACCAAAACACAGUUCAUAAGAACAGAGGCUUGAAAGUAGUCUACAGGGAUGUUCUAAAUAAGAGGAUAAGUACAUCAGAGCCUCUAGUUUGAGAAACAGAUGCCUUACAUGUCCUCAGCUGACAGCUUCAUUGAAUUCUACCCGCUCAACACCAGUUUCAUGUACAACAGUAAAGAGAAGACUCAGGGGUGCAGGUCUUAUGGGGAGAAUUGCAAAGAAAAAGCCACUUUUGAAACAGAAAAACUAAAAAAAAAAAGGUUAGAGUGGGCAAAGAAACAGACAUUGGACAACAGAUAAUUGGAAAAGAGUGUUAUGGAUCUUAAACACAUUGAGCAUUUGUGGGAUCAGCUAGACUGUAAGGUGUGUGAGAAGUGCCCAACAAGACAGCCACGUGAUACAGGAAGCAUGGGGUGAAAUGUCACCUGAGUAUCUGGACAAACUGACAGCUAGAAUACCAAGUAUCUGCAAAGCUGUCAUUGCUGCAUGUGGAGGAUUUUUUGAUGAGAACACUUUGAAAUUGUUUAAGAAGUUCUGAAAAAACUUUUCAAAUUGUAAUAGUAAUUUUUCACGUUAUUAAUGUCCUGACUAUACACUGUGAUCAGUUGAAUGCCACUUUGAUGAA
Myxocyprinus asiaticus (Chinese sucker) is the source of this 5092-nucleotide long non-coding RNA. RefSeq lists it as uncharacterized. The transcript has 3 exons. The record is from RefSeq and is a predicted model, not a curated record. NCBI's taxonomy places the organism in Eukaryota, Metazoa, Chordata, Actinopteri, Cypriniformes, Catostomidae.